CCUACGGGUGGCAGCAGUGGGGAAUAUUGCACAAUGGGGGAAACCCUGAUGCAGCGACGCCGCGUGAGUGAAGAAGUAUUUCGGUACGUAAAGCUCUAUCAGCAUGGAAGAAAAUGACGGUACCUGACCAAGAAGCCCCGGCUAACUACGUGCCAGAAGCCGCGGUAAUACGUCGGGGGCAAGCGUUAUCCGGAUUUACUGGGGUUAAAGGGAGCGUAGGCGGCAGGGCAAGUCUGGAGUGAAAUUCCAUGGCUUAACCAUGGAACUGCUUUGGAAACUGGGCAGCUGGAGUGCAGGCGAGGUAAGCGGAAUUCCUAGUGUAGCGGUGAACUGCGUAGAUAUUAGGAGGAACACCGAUGGCGAAGGCGGCUUACUGGACUGUAACUGACGUUGAGGCUCGAAAGCGUGGGGAGCAAACAGGAUUAGAUACCCGAGUAGUC
RNAcentral lists this ribosomal RNA (440 nucleotides) under uncultured bacterium. Its description in RNAcentral is "partial 16S ribosomal RNA". It matches the Rfam family "Bacterial small subunit ribosomal RNA", at positions 338 to 795 of the family's 1533-position model. The record is from RNAcentral.